Alligator mississippiensis (American alligator) is the source of this 4195-nucleotide long non-coding RNA. RefSeq lists it as uncharacterized. Lineage: Eukaryota; Metazoa; Chordata; Crocodylia; Alligatoridae. The transcript has 2 exons. The record is from RefSeq and is a predicted model, not a curated record.
UUGGGGAGUCCUGUGUGUGGGCUCAGCCUUUUGGAUAAGGAGGAAUGCAUCAGAAAAAAAUAAAAGGAAUGAAUAAUAUGAAAAGAGGCAGCUCUGGCAGGAGCCCCCAUGUCGGUCACUCACUCGAAGUGUGAGGGCCACUGCGCUGCAGACCUCUGCACAGGGAGCGCUGCUCCCUCGGUGGCCUUUGCCCAGUUUCUCAGAGCAUUUGCACUUUAUGCACUCGACUAAUUGGAAAGGGAGGCCUGUGCACACAACAACCCAGUUCGCUGGCCCUUUACAUCUGAACAUGUUUACUCCCAAAUGGUGAAACAGGUACAAACUGCCCCAAACCGAGCAAACACACAUACCAAGGAGGAGGAGGCAGAUAAGGGAUAGGAUACACGAUGUUUAUCGCAACAAAACAUGUGGAAGAUAAGCAGGGUCAGGCUGGGAGCCGGAGCAGCCUCGCUGUUAUUGCUGUGCGUGCUCGUUCUCGGUAUGUAGCAAAAGCAAGUGCACCUUUCUCCAGAAACAGUGCAGUGAAUUGUCCUUGGGCUUUUCCCAGCUCCUCCUGGGGUCGUAUUUCCAGUGAUGCCAAAGGUCGAUGAGUGCUUUAUUCUGACUUUAAUAGGGCUGGUACAGUGGGCUGCCCGCAGUGGGGAAACCCACUGUCUUAGCUUCAUCUCCAUCCACCUGAGUAAUGGGGGGGGAAGGAGAAAACACCACGGGGACCUUUUAUUCUUUCAGCCAAAGUGGAGACGAUUAACUUGGAAUAAUGGGUGAGAAUGGGCAAUGGGCCACCUGGUACAAAGAGCAGGAUGCAUUUGUGGCCUGAUCAGCUCAACCGUGGCAUCCUCUCCCCAAAGACUCAAUAAACCUUAUGAUUUAUGACAUCAGCAGCAGCACAGGAGAAAGCAGUCCAUACAGGUGCUGCUGCAGCAUGAAAAAAAUGAGUGAAGAAAGGCAAUGCUGUUUAUGCUUCAAUGGUAAGAAAGAGUUAAAUCAACCUAUCCAUACCCAAGUGCAGUUGCUAUGGCAAAUCCUCCCCUUCAAGGCUGAGUGAGCCGCUCCGGCCCCCCUGCCUUGUGCUUCUCAGUUGGCCCAAGCCUGGACAUGCCCGGCGCUCGAGCAGGCAUGUCAUGCUGAUUACCGUGAUAAAUACACUGGAAUAACAGCAACCCUAAGACGCAGCGUCACGCACCUGCAUCAUCACUCUUUGACCAGUUUGGAUAUUAUACCCUGCGCAAAGGACACCAAAGUGCAAGGCCCGGCAUCUGCUGUCCGCCAGGGGCGUUGUUCCAGAGUUCGAUGGACUCAACUCUGGCCUUUACUCUUCUCAAACACUUGGCUGACUCCUGUGAUUGUACUGCGAGUCUUGCCCUCUGCAGGGAUUUUCUGGAAUGAAGCCACUCUGGUCCUGAGAUAACCUUGUCUUUCUUAUCAAAUAAGAGUGCGGAAAGCAAAGCCUGAAAACGUGUGACCCCUGGAAGGCUUAGAUCAUAAACACUAGAAAGCAAAUGUAAGGAACCUGCUUGAUUUAAUUGUUCAUGGUUUUUAAAUUGAACACCUGCUUUUUUGUGAGCCAGAGCUAGGAUUUUGGAAAACGUUGGCAGUAACUGAGGGGAAUAUAACCACUCCAUCUGCUCCCAGGUUCUGGAGUGCAAUGGGGACUUUGUAGAAGAGUGGGUGGGAAGUUUGCAAAGAGAAAGCCACCGGUUAUUCUGCAAUACAAAAUGCAGUCAGGGGAUCAAGAGGCUACUGGGCCUGCCCUCCAUUUGUUCUAAGGUGGCAAAAUAAUUGCCCAGCUGUAGGCAAGCCAGCUCAGAUGGAGCAGCUGGAACAGACUGUCCCUGGAGGUGGCAUUUGAUUGCAGGUGGAGUGCACUAAAAGGGACCCAGAACUGCCACCUUUCUGUUUCUCCACAAAAACACUACACUUACGUUGUAGAUUUUUUUUCCCCCAUGAUCUAUAAUUCUCUGUCCUCGAUAGGAAAUAAUAGAGCAGUGAAGUGGAAAUGGUUUUAAGCUGUUGGCAUGUCAGGAGCGGAGGGGUUAGGGAAUUAAUAGAAGUGUUUUGUUGCUUAGGCAGAAUAGCAUAUGGCAUCGCUUUGCAAAAGUCUCCAGAAUAGCUGGGCAUACAAGGGGUUUGGUCCUGGGACCAAUAUAGAGGAGGGCAGAAGUGAAUGCCAACCUGCCCACCUGGCAACGUGAUUCCUAAGGGAACCCUUUGGAGGAAGUUAUGCAUUUCAUGGUUUUUUCCAACCAGGGCCUACGAGAGGGUGAGGUCAAGAGCAAAUGAAGCUCAUAAAGUUAACUGCCUGUGUUUCAAUACCUGGAAGGCAAAGAACACUGCAAGGACUUAAUUAAAGACGGGUCAAUCCACAGAUUCAGUGUCGAUGCUUUACCAUGUCGAAAGGUAUGCGUUCAGCCGGAGGAGGUGGUUCCUUGCUGCUUCAGGAUUUUCUCAAAGGGUGACAGAAAUUGGGACGCUUGGGUCCACAUCACUGAUGUCUUUCAUUGCUCAAGAAGUGGGAUGAGGAGCACAGGGCAAUUCCUUCCACUGGUCACAUUUUAGCCGACACUCCCCAGUCAGGCAGGCAUGUUCCCCACACGUGCUGUGUUCAGUCUUGAUUUCUAGUACUAUGUAAGAGUAAUACGGCCACUCCCCUCUUUCAAAGUCGAAUAGCUGACUUUUCCCCUCCUUGGAGGAUGGGAGGGUUUUGCUUUGCUGUGCACCUCCCUAAUUUUGCAGGAGUUUUGAAAUGCAAGUAUCGGUCAAGUAGUAAGAGUUCACUAGCUGCCUGCUGUUCGUUGGGUCUUGGGUCUGCCUACAACACAGUAACAUCCAUAAUCAGUGGUCACCAUCAAGGGUCUUCCUACGCCCAGUGGCCCCUCAGGCUAGCUUGGAUAAGGCACACCGCUUUCUGUAGCCAACAGCAAGCAAGAAAGCAAUGCAGGUAACAUCAUAUCCAGACACCUUUGACUCCUUGUCUUGAAUCAUGAGGGGCACCACUUAUAGCUGGGUUGGCUAGGAGCAGCCUUUGGCAUGAAUCUGGAGUGGGGCUUGAACUCAUAUCUGUGGACCUGUAGUGACACACCUUGUUUCUGAUCCAUUUUUGAAUCAACGUAUUGUGGGAACAUUUGGGCAGCUUUCCCACCAUGUCUCAGCAGGAGAUAGUGUGCCCUGCAAAGAUGAAUGCCAAGCAGCACCGGCAGCAUGUAAGGCAGUGCUCUCUGGGACAUCCAAGGCACAGAGCGAGGAAGGCCAGCCAAAAUCAUCUGACGCAUAGUUGGGAGAGAGUGCUGUCCAGCCUGCAAAUUAGCUAUAGCGAACUGGUUAUCUGUUGAACCCAAUGCCGGCUGGGAGAAUCGCUUUUUGUUGCUGGAGGAGCUACAAGGGCUGCUUGCAGACAUCGGACGUGCUACUUACUGGCGGGAAGGGUAGGAGUCCUGGUGGGCCUUUGCCUUGAGUACUGUCUGGACCUGGGAUGUGUCGGUCUGGCAUGGACAUGGAAGCCGGGGUCUCAAGCUGAGCCAUGCUCGCUGCCUGAGCUGCUGAAAUAGUGCAGUGCCGCUAGUCAAGCCUCACUCGCACCUCUUUAUGAGGACUCGACUCCUAGGGUUUGCUUUCUUGUUAAACGGAGAAGGGUCUGGCAGCAUCUGUAAAAUGUCAUGGUGAUCGUGCUGUUGGAAAAACUGAGUGACCACUUCUGCAGUGGCUCAUGGCAUCGGGGAAGGGGACUCCUUUUGUCCAUAGUGCGAGACAAUUAACCCCCAAGACACCGCUUCUUGAGCAAGUCGCCUGCACUCUUUCAUAUUUGACAGUGCAUGCUGCUCCUCCAAACAGAGAAGCUUGUAACCAGCUCGGUGCAAGACUCAUUGCCCGGGGUGAAUGGCUUUCUUAGAGGCAUAUCCUGUAAAAUAGCUUAUUAUCUGAAAUAGCAGAUAAUGCACCGGCUUUGCGAGGCGGGGAUGAAAUUGGAAGGAGUGUUAAUGGCAGGUCAGCAGAGUCCAGAGUGAAAAGAAGGCCGUGGUUUGUAAAGAGUCCUGAGCGGCGGAAGCCAGGUUUCUAUUUGUUCCUGGCAAAGGGACGAGCUUUACAGUACAAAGCACUCCUGGAGUACGCACGCUAGCUCUUGUGAAACUGCUGACUCCCUGCCCUGCUGUUUAACUUCUGCAUUAAAAAAAAGAAUAAACUUGCUGUUUGUUGCUGU